RNAcentral lists this ribosomal RNA (352 nucleotides) under uncultured bacterium. Its description in RNAcentral is "bacterial SSU rRNA". It matches the Rfam family "Bacterial small subunit ribosomal RNA", at positions 70 to 422 of the family's 1533-position model. The record is from RNAcentral.
AAGCCCGGGCUUGCCCGGGUGGAAAGUGGCGAACGGGUGAGUAACACGUGAGGAACCUGCCCCGAAGACGGGAAUAAGCCGGGGAAACCUGGUCUAAUGCCCGAUACCCUCACCGGACCGCAUGAUCCGGCGAGGAAAGCUCCGGCGCUUCGGGAUGGUCUCGCGGCCUAUCAGCUUGUUGGCGGGGUAACGGCCCACCAAGGCGACGACGGGUAGCUGGUCUGAGAGGAUGUCCAGCCACACUGGGACUGAGACACGGCCCAGACUCCUACGGGAGGCAGCAGUGGGGAAUCUUGCGCAAUGGGCGAAAGCCUGACGCAGCGACGCCGCGUGCGGGAUGAAGGCCUUCGGG